This 158-nucleotide ribosomal RNA is filed under the name Anetanthus gracilis. RNAcentral describes it as "5.8S ribosomal RNA". It matches the Rfam family "5.8S ribosomal RNA". Rfam says of the family: 5.8S ribosomal RNA (5.8S rRNA) is a component of the large subunit of the eukaryotic ribosome. It is transcribed by RNA polymerase I as part of the 45S precursor that also contains 18S and 28S rRNA. Functionally, it is thought that 5.8S rRNA may be involved in ribosome translocation. The record is from RNAcentral. Lineage: Eukaryota; Viridiplantae; Streptophyta; Magnoliopsida; Lamiales; Gesneriaceae.
AAAUGACUCUCGGCAACGGAUAUCUCGGCUCUCACAUCGAUGAAGAACGUAGCGAAAUGCGAUACUUGGUGUGAAUUGCAGAAUCCCGUGAAUCAUCAAGUCUUUGAACGCAAGUUGCGCCUGAAGCCAUUAGGCUGAGGGCACGUCUGCCUGGGUGU